This 475-nucleotide ribosomal RNA is filed under the name uncultured bacterium. Its description in RNAcentral is "partial 16S ribosomal RNA". It matches the Rfam family "Bacterial small subunit ribosomal RNA", at positions 28 to 523 of the family's 1533-position model. The record is from RNAcentral.
GACGAACGCUGGCGGCGUGCUUAACACAUGCAAGUCGAACGGAAAGCCCCUUUCGGGGGGACUCGAGUGGCGAACGGGUGAGUAACACGUGGGUGAUCUGCCCUGCACUUUGGGAUAAGCCUGGGAAACUGGGUCUAAUACCGGAUAGGACUACGCGAUGCAUGUCGUGGGGUGGAAAGCUUUUGCGGUGUGGGAUGGGCCAGCGGCCUAUCAGCUUGUUGGUGGGGUGAUGGCCUACCAAGGCGACGACGGGUAGCCGGUCUGAGAGGACGAUCAGCCACACUGGGACUGAGACACGGCCCAGACUCCUACGGGAGGCAGCAGUGGGGAAUAUUGGACAAUGGGGGCAACCCUGAUCCAGCCAUGCCGCGUGAGUGAUGAAGGCCUUCGGGUUGUAAAGCUCUUUUGGCGGGGACGAUGAUGACGGUACCCGCAGAAUAAGCCCCGGCUAACUUCGUGCCAGCAGCCGCGGUAA